This 271-nucleotide unclassified non-coding RNA is filed under the name uncultured bacterium. Its description in RNAcentral is "contains 16S-23S intergenic spacer region". The record is from RNAcentral.
CGGCUGCCCAAAUCAUUCGACGCAAACAGCGUAUUCAAGCGUUUUCCUUUCCCGCCUUCAUCACCGUCGAAUAAAUUCACGGCUAAUGAAGACACAAAAUCGGCCUUCGCCGAUUGAAGAAUCAGUCCGCGAAGGCGGACUUUGUGCUUUCCGUAGCCGCAACUGCGCUACGCUUGCCAUUCGACGGGCAAAAACCGGCAAUAGCUCACACAACUGAAAGACGGCUGAUCUCCACGAUCCGCGCGUCAUUAAGUUCUUCCGCACCCGUCCA